RNAcentral lists this ribosomal RNA (546 nucleotides) under uncultured bacterium. Its description in RNAcentral is "bacterial SSU rRNA". It matches the Rfam family "Bacterial small subunit ribosomal RNA", at positions 777 to 1314 of the family's 1533-position model. The record is from RNAcentral.
AAUAGAUACCCGGGUAGUCCACGCCGUAAACGGUGGGCACUAGGUGUGGGCGGCAUUCCACGUCGUCCGUGCCGCAGCUAACGCAUUAAGUGCCCCCGCCUGGGGAGUACGGCCGCAAGGCUAAAACUCAAAGGAAUUGACGGGGGGCCCGCACAAGCGGCGGAGCAUGUGGCUUAAUUCGACGCAACGCGAAGAACCUUACCAAGGCUUGACAUACACCGGAAAACCCUGGAGACAGGGUCCCCCUUGUGGUCGGUGUACAGGUGGUGCAUGGCUGUCGUCAGCUCGUGUCGUGAGAUGUUGGGUUAAGUCCCGCAACGAGCGCAACCCUUGUCCCGUGUUGCCAGCAGGCCCUUGUGGUGCUGGGGACUCACGGGAGACCGCCGGGGUCAACUCGGAGGAAGGUGGGGAUGACGUCAAGUCCUCAUGGCCUUUAUGACCAGGGCUGCACACGUCCUACAAUGCGUUGUACAAAGGGAAGCAACCUCGUGAGAGCAAGCAAAUCCCAAAAAGCAACGCCCAGUUCGGAUUGCAGGCUGCAACUCG